GGGCAGCAUGGCUGUGGCAAUACAGUUGAUGGCGACCGGCAAACGGGUGCGGAACACGUACGCAACUUACCCAAAACUGGGGCAUAGCCCGGGGAAACCCGGAUUAACUCCCCAUAAGAUCAUGGUCUGGCAUCAGGCAGUGAUUAAAUCUCCGGAGGUUUUGGAUGGGCGUGCGGCCCAUUAGAUAGUUGGUGAGGUAACGGCUCACCAAGUCUGCGAUGGGUAACUGGUGUGAGAGCACGACCAGUCACACGGGCACUGAGACACGGGCCCGACUCCUACGGGAGGCAGCAGUAAGGAAUAUUGGUCAAUGGAGGCAACUCUGAACCAGCCAUGCCGCGUGGAGGAUGAAGGCCCUCUGGGUUGUAAACUUCUUUUAUAAGGGAAGAAAUGCAGACAUUCUUGUUUGUUUGACGGUACCUUAGGAAUAAGCACCGGCUAACUCCGUGCCAGCAGCCGCGGUAAUACGGAG
RNAcentral lists this ribosomal RNA (472 nucleotides) under uncultured Bacteroidota bacterium. RNAcentral describes it as "bacterial SSU rRNA". It matches the Rfam family "Bacterial small subunit ribosomal RNA", at positions 67 to 530 of the family's 1533-position model. The record is from RNAcentral. Lineage: Bacteria; Pseudomonadati; Bacteroidota.